RNAcentral lists this ribosomal RNA (119 nucleotides) under Hymenobacter sp. RNAcentral's name for it is "partial 23S ribosomal RNA". It matches the Rfam family "Bacterial large subunit ribosomal RNA", at positions 2356 to 2476 of the family's 2925-position model. The record is from RNAcentral. Lineage: Bacteria; Pseudomonadati; Bacteroidota; Cytophagia; Cytophagales; Hymenobacteraceae.
GGCAAAAGUGUGCUAAACUGAGAGACUGACAGGUCAAUCAGGUACGUAAGUAGGGCAUAGUGAACCGAUAGUAUAUUAUGGUAUAGCUAUCGUUCAACGGAUAAGUUACGCUAGGGAUA